GGGGGGGGGGGGGGGGGGCGACAAGCACGUGGGAGACAUGAAAAUAUGCGAGGGAGCGAAGCGAGUGAGAGAGCAAAGCAGAACCGUUUGUUUUGACAGUCAACUUCAACUUGGAGUGGCAAUAAACAGCGGUAAGCGUCUUUUUGGAAAAAUUCCUCACGAGCUGCCAAAGUGCUGCUUGUCACCAUACAGUACAGUUUUUCAGCGAAUUACCCAAUGGGAAAGAAAAGGAAAUAGGCGAAUUUAUGAAUAGUGAACCGCAAGUCUGUGUGGGAUUCCUGGAAUGACUUAAUGUAGUGACUGAGAUUUGCGAGAACAUUAGCAGUAUGUACGGUACGAAUGUCAAUGAAGCAAACGACCAGAAACGACAACUUGACUAGUGAUUGUUUUGACAUUGUGGUCAUGAGGAAAAAAAAAGGGACCUCUAGUUUUGAAGGAAUGUCUAUCAGCAUGCAUGCGCUUAGUAUCGAACGAAGGUUGACGACCAGCAAUCAUCGUAAGGAAGAUGGGGAAUCCGUUGACAACAGACAUCUGGGCCCUGAAAACACCAACGCUACCAUCCGGAGGAUGUAAAAGAAAAUGUCUCAGCACUUCAGAGACGACGCCGUCUGCCAAUGUGGUUCACAUGUGCGUUUGUGCCACAACUGCACUCUUUCUCUCCUGGCAAGCUUUGGCGUUCCACUGGCAACCAAUCAAGCGCUCCCCUGAUGACCCUUCUGUCUCUCUGCACUAACAGGCCUACCACCAGAUGCGGCUCUGAGCCACACAGAUAUACUCACGUACGCAUAAUUUUAAGGGAGAAAAAAAAUUGACAAUUGGUUUGGACAAGUCAACGAAAGCCUGGGAAUUCUAACUUUCAGGACUCCAGCUGCGCAUCGAUGGGCCUGACAUAUCGCCGAAGCGGCGGGGGAAGCCCACCCGGUGUUUGAUUUAUUUAACGAUCAUUUGGAGCUAAUAUGAAAUCAUGGUUGUUUUGCCUGCCUUACACCCCCCCACCCUCCACCCCCUCCCCUCCUUGAGCCCAUGUGGAGCAGAUGUCUCCAGCAUCCUCAUGGAUCCCAAGGCUAUCCACACAGUCAUUCACCAUCUGGGACCAUGCUUCAGCUGUAUGAGUGCGUGUCUGUGCGUGGAAAUCUAUGGUGUGUAUCUGAAUGCGACAAGAUGUGUGUGCUGUAUUGGCUAUUCAGAGAGGAAGGAAAGCGCUGCAAGUGGAUACACACCGAGGCACACCUGUCUGUGAGCGGUGGUUUUGUUUUUCCUUCUCCUAUGUGUGCACAUGGCGUGUGUGUGUGUGAGUGUGUGUAUGUGUUUACAUACCCCCACCUGGACAAGAAUUCCCAGAUGAGAAGGCAUUUGGCAGGUGGAAUCCUUUGGAAAAUCGGAUACACCCUGUCCCAGAGUCGCAUAUUGUCAAGAAUGAUUCUUCCUUUGUGCACCACACCCAUCAAACUUUCCUUGCUAUCUGGUCUUUUAUCAGUGGUGCAAAUUGGAAUAUUUGGUCAAUAAAAGUGUUUGAAUUCAGUCCCAA
This is a long non-coding RNA of Hippocampus zosterae (dwarf seahorse), 1528 nucleotides long. RefSeq lists it as uncharacterized. NCBI's taxonomy places the organism in Eukaryota, Metazoa, Chordata, Actinopteri, Syngnathiformes, Syngnathidae. The transcript has 2 exons. The record is from RefSeq and is a predicted model, not a curated record.